CCAAUGCCAGGGUCAGGAUUAGGACCAGGAAAGAAUGAAAGUCAAGUUUCCACAGACGACAGUGAACACUCCUCCAGAUCGCUCAGAAGUAAAGCACACAGCAAGUCCAAAGCUGCUCCGUGGACCUCAUUUCUUCCUCCACCACCCCCAAUGCCAGGGUCAGGAUUAGGACCAGGAAAGAAUGAAAGUCAAGUUUCCACAGACGACAGUGAACACUCCUCCAGAUCGCUCAGAAGUAAA
Molecule: small RNA, 240 nt
Filed under: Mus musculus (house mouse)
Lineage: Eukaryota; Metazoa; Chordata; Mammalia; Rodentia; Muridae
Source: RNAcentral